RNAcentral lists this ribosomal RNA (587 nucleotides) under Penicillium commune. RNAcentral describes it as "eukaryotic LSU rRNA". The stretch from base 234 to 386 matches the Rfam family "5.8S ribosomal RNA". The record is from RNAcentral. Lineage: Eukaryota; Fungi; Ascomycota; Eurotiomycetes; Eurotiales; Aspergillaceae.
UGGAAGUAAAAGUCGUAACAAGGUUUCCGUUAGGUGAACCUGCGGAAGGAUCAUUACCGAGUGAGGGCCCUCUGGGUCCAACCUCCCACCCGUGUUUAUUUUACCUUGUUGCUUCGGCGGGCCCGCCUUAACUGGCCGCCGGGGGGCUCACGACCCCCGGGCCCGCGCCCGCCGAAGACACCCUCGAACUCUGUCUGAAGAUUGUAGUCUGAGUGAAAAUAUAAAUUAUUUAAAACUUUCAACAACGGAUCUCUUGGUUCCGGCAUCGAUGAAGAACGCAGCGAAAUGCGAUACGUAAUGUGAAUUGCAAAUUCAGUGAAUCAUCGAGUCUUUGAACGCACAUUGCGCCCCCUGGUAUUCCGGGGGGCAUGCCUGUCCGAGCGUCAUUGCUGCCCUCAAGCCCGGCUUGUGUGUUGGGCCCCGUCCUCCGAUCCCGGGGGACGGGCCCGAAAGGCAGCGGCGGCACCGCGUCCGGUCCUCGAGCGUAUGGGGCUUUGUCACCCGCUCUGUAGGCCCGGCCGGCGCUUGCCGAUCAACCCAAAUUUUUAUCCAGGUUGACCUCGGAUCAGGUAGGGAUACCCGCUGAA